This 403-nucleotide ribosomal RNA is filed under the name bacterium. RNAcentral's name for it is "partial 16S ribosomal RNA". It matches the Rfam family "Bacterial small subunit ribosomal RNA", at positions 355 to 776 of the family's 1533-position model. The record is from RNAcentral.
UGGGGAAUAUUGCACAAUGGGGGAAACCCUGAUGCAGCGACGCCGCGUGAACGAAGAAGGUAUUCGUAUCGUAAAGUUCUGUCCUAUGGGAAGAUAAUGACAGUACCAUAGAAGAAAGCUCCGGCUAAAUACGUUCCAGCAGCCGCGGUAAUACGUAUGGAGCGAGCGUUUUCCGGAAUUUUUGGGCGUAAAGGGUACGCAGGCGGUUUAAUAAGUCGAAUGUUAAAGAUCGGGGCUCAACCCCGCAAAGCAUUGGAAACUGAUAAACUUGAGUAGUGGAGAGGAAAGUGGAAUUCCUAGUGUAGUGGUGAAAUACGUAGAUAUUAGGAGGAAUACCAGUAGCGAAGGCGACUUUCUGGACACAAACUGACGCUGAGGUACGAAAGCGUGGGGAGCAAACAGG